AUCCUAAUAACUUAUAAAAAGUAUUUUAUUGAAAAUAAAAACAAAUCCCACCUUUAAUAC
Molecule: transfer RNA, 60 nt
Filed under: Mesabolivar sp. ITV1036I1
Lineage: Eukaryota; Metazoa; Arthropoda; Arachnida; Araneae; Pholcidae
Also listed under: 1 other name
Description: tRNA-Phe
Source: RNAcentral